Molecule: small nucleolar RNA, 75 nt
Organism: Manis pentadactyla (Chinese pangolin)
Lineage: Eukaryota; Metazoa; Chordata; Mammalia; Pholidota; Manidae
Product: small nucleolar RNA SNORD28
Exons: 1
Source: RefSeq, a predicted model, not a curated record
GUCAGAUGAUUUGAGUUGAUAAGCUGAUCCCCUGUGAGGGAGGACAGCUAAUAGCCUGCUAGAAUUCUGAUGGCA